This 550-nucleotide ribosomal RNA is filed under the name uncultured bacterium. Its description in RNAcentral is "bacterial SSU rRNA". It matches the Rfam family "Bacterial small subunit ribosomal RNA", at positions 355 to 896 of the family's 1533-position model. The record is from RNAcentral.
UAGGGAAUCUUCGGCAAUGGACGAAAGUCUGACCGAGCAACGCCGCGUGAGUGAAGAAGGUUUUCGGAUCGUAAAGCUCUGUUGUAAGAGAAGAACGAGUGUGAGAGUGGAAAGUUCACACUGUGACGGUAUCUUACCAGAAAGGGACGGCUAACUACGUGCCAGCAGCCGCGGUAAUACGUAGGUCCCGAGCGUUGUCCGGAUUUAUUGGGCGUAAAGCGAGCGCAGGCGGUUAGAUAAGUCUGAAGUUAAAGGCUGUGGCUUAACCAUAGUACGCUUUGGAAACUGUUUAACUUGAGUGCAGAAGGGGAGAGUGGAAUUCCAUGUGUAGCGGUGAAAUGCGUAGAUAUAUGGAGGAACACCGGUGGCGAAAGCGGCUCUCUGGUCUGUAACUGACGCUGAGGCUCGAAAGCGUGGGGAGCGAACAGGAUUAGAUACCCUGGUAGUCCACGCCGUAAACGAUGAGUGCUAGGUGUUGGAUCCUUUCCGGGAUUCAGUGCCGCAGCUAACGCAUUAAGCACUCCGCCUGGGGAGUACGACCGCAAGGUUG